Non-coding RNA from Meleagris gallopavo (turkey), 249 nucleotides. The record is from RefSeq and is a predicted model, not a curated record. Lineage: Eukaryota; Metazoa; Chordata; Aves; Galliformes; Phasianidae.
UGGACCCUGACUUUGUCUGCACUAAAAUCCGAGCUUGUGACUCAGACCUGACCUCAACCCCUUGUGCCCAAGGACCUGACUACUGGUGCACCAGCAUGGCCACAGCCACUGAGUGUGACGCUGUGGAGCACUGCAGGCAGCAUGUGUGGAACUAGGAGCAUCUCCACCCUGGACCCUCCCUCCCUUGGGAUGCAGCCACAGCACCAGGGAUGGGGUGUCCCAGAGGCUCCCUGCUGCGCUCUGGGGCAC